Lycium ferocissimum is the source of this 122-nucleotide ribosomal RNA. The record is from RefSeq and is a predicted model, not a curated record. NCBI's taxonomy places the organism in Eukaryota, Viridiplantae, Streptophyta, Magnoliopsida, Solanales, Solanaceae.
GGAUGCGAUCAUACCAAAGACUAAUGCACACCGGAUCCCAUCAGAACUCCGAAGUUAAGUGUGCUUGGGCGAGAGUAGUACUAGGAUGGGUGACCCCCGGGGAAGUCCUCGUGUUGCAACCC